Sus scrofa (pig) is the source of this 629-nucleotide non-coding RNA. NCBI's taxonomy places the organism in Eukaryota, Metazoa, Chordata, Mammalia, Artiodactyla, Suidae. The record is from RefSeq and is a predicted model, not a curated record.
CCCUCGGGAAGCCUAGAGAGGAGGCGAGGACCUCAGGUUUGCCGAGCGCGCGGCUGUGAGGCGACCGCGCAGCUGCAGCAGCAGCUGGUGGGGCAACGUGGGGAGGCGCUGGUGAACUUCGCUAGUCCUUCAGGUUUGCGAGCUUUAUUCAUUUGGAAUUCAUAUGGCAUUUCAGGGGAUGCCAAGUGGCCAAUCUUGAGAAAGAAGAACAAAGUAGGAGAACACACACUUCCCAAUUUCAAACAUUAUUACAGAGCUACAGUAAUUAAAAUGUAGUACUGCCAUCAGAAUAGACAUAUACAUCAAUGGGAAUCAAAUUGAGAGUACAGCAACAGUGCCGUACAGCUACAAGCAAUUGGUUUUCAGCAAUGGUGCCAAAACCGUUAUAUGUAGGGAAAAUUAGCCUUUCAACAAGUGGUACCGAUGCAACUGGACAUCCACAUGCAAAAGAAUGAAAUUGGACCUUUAGAUCAUUCCACGCACAAAAGUUCAUUCAAACUCAAUCAAAGACCUAACAUAAAGCUAAAACUAUAAACCUCUUGGAAAAAUGGGUGUAUUCUUCACAGUCAUGGAUUAUGCAAUGAUUUCAUAACUGUAACACCAAAAUCAUAAGCAGUGAAAUAAAAAAA